Molecule: non-coding RNA, 1560 nt
Organism: Oryza sativa Japonica Group (Japanese rice)
Lineage: Eukaryota; Viridiplantae; Streptophyta; Magnoliopsida; Poales; Poaceae
Source: RefSeq, a predicted model, not a curated record
GUUUUCGGGCUUUCAGUUUCAGGGCUCGUCUCCGUCCUUAAAGACCGGGGAGAUAUAUAGCCAGGCCUUCCCUUCUUCUCCGCCGACCGCCGCCGCCAGGCGUUCUCCGUAAGCCCCAAACCCUAACAGCUCUCGCAGUCUCGGGUGCGAAUCUGCCCGCGUUUCUUCUCGAACUUCUUCUCUUUCUGCCAGACUUUUCUCUCCUUAUCGCUAAUCUGAUGUGUGUUCAUUGCUUUAAUUCGGAAAAGAAGGGAUGCUUUGUGCUGUCCUGCCAAGUGAUGCUGGGAUUAUUGCGCAAGGGCUUUGAGCAAUUCAUGGCUUGUUUCUGCCUGAUGCGAUGAGAUUAAAGUUAUGUGUUUUCCCUUUUGAUGGCAGCAGCUCGUUUCUCCCUUGGAUCCGUCGAAUUGUGAACUUGUCUUUGAGUUUCUUUUCGAGUUUUGCUUCGUAGGGUUGGGGUUUUGUAUUGUUGGGUGAGGCGGUGAUGUCAAAACAAUUUUUGAGUUGCCAAGUGAUGCUGGGAUUAUUGCGCAAGGGCUUUGAGCAUCAUAGGCAGUUGUGGCCUAAAUGCGGUGAGAUAAACGAUUUGUUUUCCCUUCUGAUGGCAACUUACUUACUAGUAACUUCAGGAAUAAACUGCCUUGCUCAGUACAAACGUAGAUGCAGUGCUAUGUCGGUAAUUUGCAUUCGUUUUAUGCUAUAUCCAUAAUGCAUAUUGAGGCAGAGGCAGUAAUGUUUGCCCUACCUUUAAUUUUAAGAAAAAGAGUAAUAUUUGUUAUGUUUGACAUCAAAUGUUACUUACUAGUACUAUCAUUAGUAGCACUGCAAACGUUUAUUCAACUAGACCGCCUAAGCUCAGUAUUGAUCUGAUAAGAAUGGCAUAACAGAUGGGCUUGACUUAUGCUAGCAUGCUAAAACCAAUAGAUACCAUACACCUUAGAAUUUGGACAGUUUCUGAUUCUAGAAAUCAAAUUGGACAGUUUCUGAUUCUAGAUCCUUUAUUCAGCAUCUUGAGCAGUACUGUAAUGCAGACCUACAUAAAAAAUUGCCCAUAUCAGUAGAUUAUAAAGAAUUAUACUAGAUAUGGCUGGCGGCUGGCCUUUUUGUUUUGUACUACUUCACUAUGAGUGCUCGUGUUGCUAAAAAAAUGACAGCGCUUGAUAUGCUAGUUAACACCGGCAAAUUAACUUGACAUUUUUUCCACAGAGACAGAGGUACACAUUACUUUACAUAAUCAUCCUCGAUAUUUUCUCCCAUUUUGGUUGAAUUAGUGCCGCUAGCAAUUCGUAUGAAAUUGGAACAGUUUGGAUUAUGACAAUUAUACAUCAAGUUCUUCAUCCUGGCAGCUACCAUGCGGAGUGGUGGGCACUUUUGUUAAAUAUUGACCAUUAUUCUUUCAACAGGGAACAUGUUGCAUUAAAGUACAAAAUCCGCUGCAAUUAUGAUUCCUGCGAAAUUGGAAUAGUUUGGAUUAUGACAAUUAUUCAUCCAGGCUGCUAUCAUGUCAGCCCCUCUCUGCACAGUGAAUACUUUCAUUAAACAGUGUUGACAAUUUUUCUUUCA